GACGAACGCUGGCGGCGCGCUUAACACAUGCAAGUCGAACGGAAAGGCCUGCUUUCCCUUGUGGAUUGCGGGUACUCGAGUGGCGAACGGGUGAGUAACACGUGAGUGAUCUGCCCCCAACUUGGGUAUAAGCCUGGGAAACUGGGUCUAAUUCCCGAUAGGACUGCAGGGUGGUGCCUGUGGUGGAAAACGAUUUUCUAGUGGUUGGGGAUGAGCUCGCGGCCUAUCAGCUUGUUGGUGGGGUAAUGGCCUACCAAGGCGGCGACGGGUAGCCGGCCUGGGAGGGUGCACGGCCACAUUGGGACUGAGAUACGGCCCAGACUCCUACGGGAGGCAGCAGUGGGGAAUAUUGCACAAUGGGCGGAAGCCUGAUGCAGCGACGCCGCGUGGGGGAUGACGGCCUUCGGGUUGUAAACUCCUUUCGACCGCGAGGAAGCCACCUGGUUGGAAGGGUGGUGACGGUAGUGGUAGAAGAAGCACCGGCUAACUACGUGC
Molecule: ribosomal RNA, 495 nt
Filed under: uncultured bacterium
Lineage: Bacteria
Description: partial 16S ribosomal RNA
Rfam family: Bacterial small subunit ribosomal RNA
Source: RNAcentral